AGUUUGAUUAUGGCUCAGAUUGAACGCUGGCGGGAUGCGCGCUACACAUGCAAGUCGAACGGCAGCACGGACUUCGGUCUGGUGGCGAGUGGCGAACAGGUGAGUAAUGUAUCGGAACGUGCCUAGUAGCGGGGGAUAACUACGCGAAAGCGUAGCUAAUACCGCAUACGCCCUUCGGGGGAAAGCGGGGGACCUUCGGGCCUCGCACUAUUAGAGCGGCCGAUAUCGGAUUAGCUAGUUGGUGGGGUAACGGCUCGCAAGGCGACGAUCCGUAGCUGGUUUGAGAAGGACAGCCAGCCACACUGGGACUGAGACACGGCCCAGACUCCUGGGAGGCAGCAGUGGGGAAUUUUGGACAAUGGGGAAACCCUGAUCCAGCCAUCCCGCGUGUGCGAUGAAGGCCUUCGGGGACAUGAAAGCACUUUUUGGCAGGAAAGAAACGGCACGGGAUAAUACCCCGUGCAACUGACGGUACCUGCAGAAUAAGCACCGGCUAACUACGUGCCAGCAGCCGCGGUAAUACGUAGGGUGCAAGCGUUAAUCGGAAUUACUGGGCGUAAAGCGUGCGCAGGCGGUUCGGAAAGAGAAAGAUGUGAAAUCCAGAGCUUAACUUUGGAACACAUUUUAACUACCGAGCUAGAGUGUGUCAGAGGAGGUGGAAUUCCGCGUGUAGCAGUGAAAUGCGUAGAUAUGCGGAGGAACACCGAUGGCGAAGAGCAGCCUCCUGGGAUAACACUGACGCUCAUGCACGAAAGCGUGGGGAGCAAACAGGAUUAGAUACCUGGUAGUCCACGCCCUAAACGAUGUCAACUAGCUGUUGGGGCCUUCGGGCUUGGUAGCGCAGCUAACGCGUGAAGUUGACCGCCUGGGGAGUACGGUCGCAAGAUUAAAACUCAAAGGAAUUGACGGGGACCCGCACAAGCGGUGGAUGAUGUGGAUUAAUUCGAUGCAACGCGAAAAACCUUACCUACCCUUGACAUGUCUGGAAUCCCGAAGAGAUUUGGGAGUGCUCGCAAGAGAACCGGAACACAGGUGCUGCAUGGCUGUCGUCAGCUCGUGUCGUGAGAUGUUGGGUUAAGUCCCGCAACGAGCGCAACCCUUGUCAUUAGUUGCUACGAGGCACUCUAAUGAGACUGCCGGUAAACCGGAGGAAGGUGGGGAUGACGUCAGAUCCUCGCGUAGCCCUUAUGGGUAGGGCUUCACACGUCAUACAAUGGUCGGGACAGAGGGUCGCCAGCCGCGAGGGGUAAUCCCAGAAACCCGAUCGUAGUCCGGAUCACAGUCUGCAACUCGACUGCGUGAAGUCGAGAUCGCUAGUAAUCGCGGAUCAGCAUGUCGCGGUGAAUACGUUCCCGGGUCUUGUACACCGCCCGUCACCAUGGGAGUGGGUUUUACCAGUAGUUAGCCUAACCGUAAGGAGGCGAUUACCACGGUAGGAUUCAUGACUGGGGUGAAGUCGUAACAAAGUACAA
Molecule: ribosomal RNA, 1472 nt
Filed under: uncultured Bordetella sp.
Lineage: Bacteria; Pseudomonadati; Pseudomonadota; Betaproteobacteria; Burkholderiales; Alcaligenaceae
Description: partial 16S-23S ribosomal RNA intergenic spacer
Rfam family: Bacterial small subunit ribosomal RNA
Source: RNAcentral